AAUGAACGCUGGCGGCGUGUCUUAAGCAUGCAAGUCGUGCGGCAAGGGUAGCAAUACCCCUAGAGCGGCGGACUGGUGAGUAACGCGUGGGUGAUCUGCCUCCGGGAUGGGGAUAGCCACUAGAAAUAGUGGGUAAUACCGAAUACGUUCACCGAACUGUGGUUUGGUGAGGAAAGGCGCUUCGGCGCCACCCGGAGAUGAGCCCGCGUCCCAUUAGCUAGUUGGUGAGGUAAAAGCCCACCAAGGCGAUGAUGGGUAGGCGGCCUGAGAGGGUGUACGCCCACACUGGGACUGAGAUACGGCCCAGACUCCUACGGGGGGCAGCAGUAGGGAAUUUUCGGCAAUGGGCGAAAGCCUGACCGAGCGACGCCGCGUGAGGGACGAAGGCCUUCGGGUUGUAAACCUCUGUCUGGGGGAUGAGAACGGACGGUACCCCGGAGGAAGCCCGGCUAACUACGUG
Molecule: ribosomal RNA, 460 nt
Filed under: uncultured bacterium
Lineage: Bacteria
Description: bacterial SSU rRNA
Rfam family: Bacterial small subunit ribosomal RNA
Source: RNAcentral